This 910-nucleotide ribosomal RNA is filed under the name uncultured bacterium. RNAcentral describes it as "bacterial SSU rRNA". It matches the Rfam family "Bacterial small subunit ribosomal RNA", at positions 8 to 918 of the family's 1533-position model. The record is from RNAcentral.
ANAGUUUGAUCCUGGCUCAGGAUGAACGCUGGCGGCGUGCCUAACACAUGCAAGUCGAGCGCGAUUGUUUGGACUGGAGACUUCGGUCAAAGGGAAGAACAUGAAAGCGGCGGACGGGUGAGUAACGCGUGAGCAACCUGCCCUGUACAGGGGGAUAGCCACUGGAAACGGUGAUUAAUACCCCAUAAGUCUGUAGGACCGCAUGGUCCAGCAGACAAAGCCUUGGCGGUACAGGAUGGGCUCGCGUCUGAUUAGCUAGUUGGUGAGGUAAUGGCUCACCAAGGCUUCGAUCAGUAGCCGACCUGAGAGGGUGAACGGCCACACUGGAACUGAGACACGGUCCAGACUCCUACGGGAGGCAGCAGUGGGGAAUAUUGCACAAUGGGCGCAAGCCUGAUGCAGCAACGCCGCGUGAGUGAAGAAGGCCUUCGGGUCGUAAAACUCUGUCCUAAGGGAAGAAGAAGUGACGGUACCUUAGGAGGAAGCCCCGGCUAACUACGUGCCAGCAGCCGCGGUAAUACGUAGGGGGCAAGCGUUAUCCGGAAUCACUGGGCGUAAAGGGUGCGUAGGCGGCUGAUCAAGCCAGGAGUGAAAGGCAGUGGCUCAACCAUUGUAAGCUUUUGGAACUGGUCAGCUAGAGUGCAGGAGAGGAAAGCGGAAUUCCUAGUGUAGCGGUGAAAUGCGUAGAUAUUANGAGGAACACCCGUGGCGAANGCGGCUUUCUGGACUGUAACUGACGCUGAGGCACGAAAGCGUGGGGAGCAAACAGGAUUAGAUACCCUGGNAGUCCACGCCGUAAACGAUGAGUGCUNNNNGUUGGGGGUCAAACCUCGGNGCCGCAGCUAACGCAUUAAGCACUCCGCCUGGGGGAGUACGUACGCAAGUAUGAAACUCNAAGGNAUUGACGGGG